RNAcentral lists this transfer RNA (73 nucleotides) under Camelus bactrianus (Bactrian camel). It matches the Rfam family "tRNA". Rfam says of the family: Transfer RNA (tRNA) molecules are approximately 80 nucleotides in length. Their secondary structure includes four short double-helical elements and three loops (D, anti-codon, and T loops). Further hydrogen bonds mediate the characteristic L-shaped molecular structure. tRNAs have two regions of fundamental functional importance: the anti-codon, which is responsible for specific mRNA codon recognition, and the 3' end, to which the tRNAs corresponding amino acid is attached (by aminoacyl-tRNA synthetases). tRNAs cope with the degeneracy of the genetic code in two manners: having more than one tRNA (with a specific anti-codon) for a particular amino acid; and 'wobble' base-pairing, i.e. permitting non-standard base-pairing at the 3rd anti-codon position. Lineage: Eukaryota; Metazoa; Chordata; Mammalia; Artiodactyla; Camelidae. The record is from Rfam by way of RNAcentral. RNAcentral also lists the same sequence under 2 other names.
GAGGGUAUAGCUCAACGCUCUAGAGCACAUGCUUAGCAUGCAUGAGGUCCUGGGUUCAACCCCCCUUACCUCG